RNAcentral lists this ribosomal RNA (1422 nucleotides) under Bacillus licheniformis. RNAcentral describes it as "bacterial SSU rRNA". It matches the Rfam family "Bacterial small subunit ribosomal RNA". The record is from RNAcentral. Lineage: Bacteria; Bacillati; Bacillota; Bacilli; Caryophanales; Bacillaceae.
UGCAAGUCGAGCGGACCGACGGGAGCUUGCUCCCUUAGGUCAGCGGCGGACGGGUGAGUAACACGUGGGUAACCUGCCUGUAAGACUGGGAUAACUCCGGGAAACCGGGGCUAAUACCGGAUGCUUGAUUGAACCGCAUGGUUCAAUCAUAAAAGGUGGCUUUUAGCUACCACUUACAGAUGGACCCGCGGCGCAAUAGCUAGUUGGUGAGGUAACGGCUCACCAAGGCGACGAUGCGUAGCCCACCUGAGAGGGUGAUCGGCCACACUGGGACUGAGACACGGCCCAGACUCCUACGGGAGGCAGCAGUAGGGAAUCUUCCGCAAUGGACGAAAGUCUGACGGAACAACGCCCCGUGAGUGAUGAAGGUUUUCGGAUCGUAAAACUCUGUUGUUAGGGAAGAACAAGUACCGUUCGAAUAGGGCGGUACCUUGACGGUACCUAACCAGAAAGCCACGGCUAACUACGUGCCAGCAGCCGCGGUAAUACGUAGGUGGCAAGCGUUGUCCGGAAUUAUUGGGCGUAAAGCGCGCGCAGGCGGUUUCUUAAGUCUGAUGUGAAAGCCCCCGGCUCAACCGGGGAGGGUCAUUGGAAACUGGGGAACUUGAGUGCAGAAGAGGAGAGUGGAAUUCCACGUGUAACGGUGAAAUGCGUACAGAUGUGGAGGAACACCAAUGGCGAAGGCGACUCUCUGGUCUGUAACUGACACUGAAGCUCGAAAGCCUGGGGAGUGCACUGGACUAGAGAUCCUCGUCGUUCCCGCCGUGAACGACGAGUGUUCAGUGUGAGAGGGAUUUCCCCCCUUAGCGCUGCAGCUCACGCGUUUAGAACUACGCUCCGGGAGUACGCUCGCACGAGUCAAAUUCAAAGGAAGAGACGGCGGGCCGCACAAGAGGUGGAGCAAGUGGUGUAAAUCGAAGCAACGCGAAGAACCUUACCAGGUGUUGACAUCCUCUGACAACCCUAGAGAUAGGGCUUCCCCUUCGGGGGCAGAGUGACAGGUGGUGCAUGGUUGUCGUCAGCUCGUGUCGUGAGAUGUUGGGUUAAGUCCCGCAACGAGCGCAACCCUUGAUUUUAGUUGCCAGCAUUCAGUUGGGCACUCUAAGGUGACUGCCGGUGACAAACCGGAGGAAGGUGGGGAUGACGUCAAAUCAUCAUGCCCCCUAUGACCUGGGCUACACACGUGCUACAAUGGGCAGAACAAAGGGCAGCGAAGCCGCGAGGCUAAGCCAAUCCCACAAAUCUGUUCUCAGUUCGGAUCGCAGUCUGCAACUCGACUGCGUGAAGCUGGAAUCGCUAGUAAUCGCGGAUCAGCAUGCCGCGGUGAAUACGUUCCCGGGCCUUGUACACACCGCCCGUCACACCACGAGAGUUUGUAACACCCGAAGUCGGUGAGGUAACCUUUGGAGCCAGCCGCCGAAG